UCCCUGGUGGUCUAGUGGUUAGGAUUCAGUCCUUUCACUGCUGCAACCCAAGUUCAAUCCCUGGUCUUGGAA
Molecule: transfer RNA, 72 nt
Organism: Sus scrofa (pig)
Lineage: Eukaryota; Metazoa; Chordata; Mammalia; Artiodactyla; Suidae
Rfam family: tRNA
About the family: Transfer RNA (tRNA) molecules are approximately 80 nucleotides in length.
Source: Rfam